UGGAUUAGAGAGAGGGAAAGAAGAAGAUGAAGAAGGAGAAGCAGCAAAGCGAGUUUGAGUUCUGCAAAGCGUGCAACAUAAACCACGACCAAGGUCUCCGCCACAAGUACUUCCCCAACCACAAGAAAUCGCUUUCCAGCUUCCUAUCCCGCUUCCGUAAAAAACUCUCCGACGUUCGCUUCUUCCUCAACGCCCCUAUCCCUCUCGAUCCCCAACUCGCUUCUCGCAAUCGCUUCUGGUGUGUCUUCUGCGACCAAGACGUCCACGAACACUCUAGUUCCUUUGCCUGCGCCAAUGCGAUUCGCCACCUCGCCAGUGCCCAACACGUGAAGAAUUUGAGGCAUUUCUUCUGGAAAUACGGCGCUGCCGCGAAUCAAUUGGACGCGUUUAUGUUUUCCGAAGAUGAUGUGACUAAGUGGGAGAGGAAGUGCGAGGUGCGAAAGGAUGAAACGAGUGAGGGAAGUCGCAGAACGGUGGUGGGUCCUUCAAGUGAUGAUCAUAUCCAUAAUCAACUCACCAGUGGAAAUAGUGAUAGUUUUGAGAAAAAUGUUUAUUCCCAUUCUGUGAAUUCGUAUCCUUCAAAUCCUGUUUUGCCUUUACAAAGCUAUACAAAUGAGUAUCAGAUAUCUAGUUCAGGACUCUCUGGAAUCGCUUAUGUUGCUACCUCGUCGGAAACGUGCCCUGAUGCUAAACCGUUUGCUUUGCCAGAUCUUUUGGUUGAAAGGAGAAGCCAUUCUCUCCCUCAUGAUGGUAGACAAUGGUCAAGUAAUGGUUACUCCGGUCAUAAACAGACUAUCAAAAGUCGUUCGGCGGUAACUUCAUUGGGGCGUGACAAUGGUAGAAUGGUCAGUGGUGAAAGCAUUCAUGAGGGUGUACAAUUGAUCACUCAGAUUUCUUCUGUGCCAACUGAAAGUGCUGAUAAAAAAGUUUAUUCUGAAGCACCUCCACCAUGGAUUGACACAACUGAGGCAGUUCAGAUGCAUUCUAAUUCAAACAAGUUGGGGAAGUCCAAAAUGUUGAAUCCAAAUCGGGUAGGAGCAGCUUGGGUUGGAAAGAGAAAGAUUGAAAUGGAGAAGGAAAAGAGGGGAGAGAUAAAAAGGAAUGGGUGUGAUGCCAACUGGCUUCCUAAUUUUGGUAGAGUCUGGCAAUCUGGUAGCAGAAGAGAAUCCAGGAAAGAGUUUGAGAGGGAGAAACAGUUACCAAAGUUAAAUGUUGAAGCAGAGUCUAAGAUGGCAAUCAAGAUACAGCCUUAUGUAAGCAAAAGAAUGCGGAUGGAUUAUCGGGGUGAUAAUGGAAGCGGAUGAAAUUUCUUAUCGCAAAGAUGCUCGGGGAGUGAAAUCCGUAUGGUAAAUAUGCAUAGCAACAUCUAUUGCAUUGGAGUUAUUGGGUGCCUAUUACCGCCUACCAGCUUGCUUUUGAAUGUAGGAAUGGUUACUAUUGAAUAUUAAUAUUCAGAUCGGCGCUGCCUUUCAACAUGUUGCGCUUUUACAUUGAAUGGAACAAACUUAUCCAAAGAUGUACAGAGUACUGGGAUUAUACUUGCCAGCUAUACAAAGAAUACCACUGUAAUGUCCUGUAUCUUAACUCCUAAAUUUAAUCUUGCAUUUCAAUUAUUUUUGUGGUACUAACUUCUCUCCAAUAUUUACACCGAGACAAAGUAUGAUAAAUUUUUCAUCAAACAGUAGAAUCGCGACUAAAACCUAUACUGAUUUGUUUAUUUAGUGAAUCGUACUAUUAGGAGUUCAGCAGUAUAUAGACCUAAAUAAUUUAUGAGA
Molecule: RNA transcript, 1775 nt
Organism: Vigna radiata var. radiata (mung bean)
Lineage: Eukaryota; Viridiplantae; Streptophyta; Magnoliopsida; Fabales; Fabaceae
Gene name: TITAN-like protein
Exons: 9
Source: RefSeq, a predicted model, not a curated record